RNAcentral lists this ribosomal RNA (449 nucleotides) under uncultured bacterium. RNAcentral describes it as "partial 16S ribosomal RNA". It matches the Rfam family "Bacterial small subunit ribosomal RNA", at positions 28 to 523 of the family's 1533-position model. The record is from RNAcentral.
GAUGAACGCUGGCGGCAGGCCUAACACAUGCAAGUCGAACGAGGCAGCAAUGCCUAGUGGCGGACGGGUGAGUAACGCGUGGGAACGUGCCCCUUGGUACGGAAUAGCCCUGGGAAACUGGGAGUAAUACCGUAUGUGGUCGAGAGACGAAAGAUUUAUCGCCAAGGGAUCGGCCCGCGUUGGAUUAGGUAGUUGGUGGGGUAAUGGCCUACCAAGCCGACGAUCCAUAGCUGGUUUGAGAGGAUGAUCAGCCACACUGGGACUGAGACACGGCCCAGACUCCUACGGGAGGCAGCAGUGGGGAAUCUUAGACAAUGGGGGAAACCCUGAUCUAGCCAUGCCGCGUGAUCGAUGAAGGCCUUAGGGUUGUAAAGAUCCUUCAGUGGGGAAGAUAAUGACGGUACCCACAGAAGAAGCCCCGGCUAACUCCGUGCCAGCAGCCGCGGUAA